Long non-coding RNA from Biomphalaria glabrata, 657 nucleotides. RefSeq lists it as uncharacterized. NCBI's taxonomy places the organism in Eukaryota, Metazoa, Mollusca, Gastropoda, Planorbidae. The transcript has 2 exons. The record is from RefSeq and is a predicted model, not a curated record.
AGAGCAAUGUUUUGGGGCUGUGUAGAUGGCCUGGUUUAUACCUGUGUGUUGCGCUUUCACUGAACUUUUUCUAGUGUGUCUUGACUUGGUCUGAUGGCUGUGCGUGGAUUGAGUCUUGAGAUUUGUUACUUUACACUGAAAAUGUGUGAAUGUUGGAAAGUGGAAUUGUCCCUGUUUUGAAUACAACUAGAUCAACAACUUCUGAAACUCCAAUAAUACUACCUGCAAGUGCUGCUGAAAGAAAAAUAACCCUAACAGCCUUUAAAUUUACUACAUAUAUUCUAAUGCUGACAACAUCAAUUAGAUCUAGAUGCUGCCUGAAGAUUUCAUGUCUCUGGCAUUUUACGUCUCGAGAAAAGAUCUUUUCCCGUUGCAACUUCUGGUGUGGCUAAAGAGGCAAAUCCUUGAUACACAGCUGUAGUCACAGGUUGAGCACAUGUAAUCACCAGGCACCAUUGCAUUGUCACCUUUCUUCCUGCUGCUGUUGUGUAUGGCAUCUGCAAUCCGAGACCCUUCCUUUAUGCUCGUCUCUCCAUGUGGAUCUAUCCAGUGCCACCUUUUCCCAGCUGCUAGUGUCGAUUUUGAAGAUGCACACUAUGGUAAACUCAAUGCAGUUGAGUCCAAUAAUCUCCAUGUCCACAUUGUUUCAACAAGAAC